UAAAAGUUUUAUCCUUGCUAAAUAAUCCUUUUAAUUUUAUUUUAUAUACUAGCUUUGCUUCUAAAAGUGUUAAUUUGUAGUAGUUUUUAUUGUUUUUCAAGUCAUUUUGGAUACAGUAAAUUUUUUAUUCCUGUCAAACUUCGUGCCAGCAGCCGCGGUUAAACGGUGGGGGAUAGGGAUUAUUUUUGGUUGGUAGUAAAUUUUUUCUUGCUACAAUUAGAAUAUUUUAGGUGAAAUUUAUAUUUCUAAUUAAUGUAUUUCUUUAUUCUAUGAAACCUGAGAUUAAAACGAGGAUUAGAUACCCUCUUAUAUUAGGUGUUAAUUUUGCCUGGGUAGUAUUAGUUAUGUUCUUGAAACCCAAAGGAUUUGGCGGUAUUUUAUUCCUUUCAGAGGAGCCUGUCCUAUGAUCGAUAUUACACGAUAUUUUCUACUUACCUUUGUUUUCAGUUUGUAUAUCUCCGUCAUCAGGGUGUCUUUUUAGAGUUAAUUCCCAUUUUUACUUUAUGUAAAUAUGUCAGGUCAAGGUGCAGCUUAUAGGUAAGCUGAGAUGGGCUACAAUAAAUUUAUUUAUACGGAUAUAGUUAUUUAAUUGUAUACUAUUUGAAGGUGGAUUUGAGAGUAAAUUUAUUAAUUAAAUUUUUUGAAUUUGUUUCUAAAAUAUGCACACAUCGCCCGUCGCUCUCACGAUAAGUGAGAUAAGUCGUAACAUAGUAGAUGUAUUGGAAAAUGUAUCUAGUAAGU
Molecule: non-coding RNA, 741 nt
Filed under: Mnais tenuis
Lineage: Eukaryota; Metazoa; Arthropoda; Insecta; Odonata; Calopterygidae
Source: RNAcentral